AUACUUACCUGGCAGGGGAGAUACCAUGAUCACGAAGGUGGUUUUCCCAGGGCGAGGCUUAUCCAUUGCACUCCGGAUGUCCUG
Molecule: small nuclear RNA, 84 nt
Filed under: Mus musculus (house mouse)
Lineage: Eukaryota; Metazoa; Chordata; Mammalia; Rodentia; Muridae
Rfam family: U1 spliceosomal RNA
About the family: U1 is a small nuclear RNA (snRNA) component of the spliceosome (involved in pre-mRNA splicing). Its 5' end forms complementary base pairs with the 5' splice junction, thus defining the 5' donor site of an intron.
Source: RNAcentral